This 287-nucleotide ribosomal RNA is filed under the name Aurantiochytrium limacinum. RNAcentral describes it as "partial Eukaryotic large subunit ribosomal RNA". It matches the Rfam family "Eukaryotic large subunit ribosomal RNA", at positions 1222 to 1507 of the family's 3401-position model. The record is from RNAcentral. Lineage: Eukaryota; Bigyra; Thraustochytrida; Thraustochytriidae.
UGUUGAUUCAUUUAGACAGCAGGACGGUGGCCAUGGAAGUCGGAACCCGCUAAGGAGUGUGUAACAACUCACCUGCCGAAUGGAUUAGCCCUGAAAAUGGAUGGCGCUUCAGCGAUCUACUUAUACUGUGCCAUCUUGGUUGAAAUAAAUCAGGAUGAGUAGGAGGGCGUGGAGGUUAUGUGUUGAAGCGUUUGGUGUGAACCUGCGUGGAACGGCCUCUAGUGCAGAUCUUGGUGGUAGUAGCAAGUAUUCAAAUGGGAACUUUGAAGACUGAAGUGGAGAAAGGU